UGUGUUGGUAGCUUGCUUAAAAACGUUGGUUGCUUGGGGAUUCCGGUUCCCUUGAGGUCACGUAAGAGAUAGGUUUAUGUUGUGUGUCGUAUUAAAGUAACAUCAUUGGAGUAUAAUCGAGUUAUCAAUGAUUGUGAGACCAAUUGAGUAAAAACGUCAAAGUGUGAAAGUGAGGAAUUGUGGACUGUUUUGAGUCGACUCGUGGACUGAUUUUUGUUAACAUUAACGUGUUAUUAUUUUUAUUAUGCUUUAGUGUUCUUAAUAGGUAUUAUGGCAUCAGGAAAGGUGACCAUGAACGAUUUGAUGACUGUCAUAAUGGGUAUGAAACAUGACCUUAGUAGUCGAAUGGAGAGAAUGGAAAGAAUAAUGGACCGAGUGGAAGAAAAAAUAGAAGGGACGGAAAGAUCUCUUUCCAAGGAGUUGGAUAAUUGGAUAGAGCAACCAAGCCUUCCUAAUUAAGUUCCCAUGAGUGGACAUGCUCCACAUAAGCUAUAUGGUAAUCAAACUAACUUUUGCACUCUAGUGAAUAAGUAGCCAACUAAGUAUGAAUGAUGGUUUGACUUUAGGUGAGCCGAAUGUGCCUCCAUUUGGUGAUGAUAAUGUACAACUUAAGAUUGUGGAAAUACUAGUUGAUCCAUCUAGUGUUGAAGCCAUUGUGGCAAGUAAUAGUACAUUGUCUUACGGAAGUCAUGAAGACUAACUUGUGUGUGAAAAUGGUGAUGUUGAACAUGUUGGCCGAUUGACUAAGGAUGACCCUCUAGUUGUUUUUGUUGUAGAUUACGUUAGUAUAGAGGGUGUAAAUGAGUGUAAUGGGGGUAGUCUUCGGGAAAGAAAGUAUGUCCUCCACCCGUGUCCAUGGACACUCUAACCCUUUGAUCCCGACGACCAUUUGAAAUGUGAUGUUGAUUCAUUUCAAACCAUAUUCGGGAAUGACGUAUGUGCAUUGUGUGUUGAUGCUAAGCAUGUCUUGUAUGUAAUUCAGGUUUCCUGUGAUUGGUGUGUCAUUUUUGAGAACCCGAGGGAUGCUUGGUUAUAUGUAAAAUUUGAGCCACUUUGGCAUGAUGCUAUGAUUGAUUACGCUAAUCCUAACCCUCAUACCUUGAGAAACUUGUGUAUUUUUCCUUCCUAUUAUUUUGCAAGGUUCGGAUUCACGGAUGAAUAUUUUCUAAAGAGGGGAGGAUGAUACGGGUCAAAGAGGCAUCUUAGCACUCGAGGAUAUGAAAACGUGAGGAAAGACCCGAGUUUAUGGGCUGCCUAACCAAGGAACAAGCUUUGAAAUGUAUAGAACAAGUCCCAACACUCCAAAGUUGUCCAAGAAGCCAAGCCCCUUUGUUUGGUCUCAUUAAGGGUCUUUUGGUCAUUUAUGUAAUAAGUGUUGCCCUAACCUAUAAAUAGAACAAUUAGGUCAUUUUGCCAUUUAAACUUUGAUGAUAUGUUUUGAGAGCACCAUAGAGUAUCUUGCAAAGUGGAAUCCUUGUGUUGGUAGCUUGCUUAGAAACGUUGGUUGCUUGGGAAUUCCGGUUCCCUUGAGGUCAAGUAAGAGAUAGGUUUAUGUUGUGUGUGGUAUUAAAGGUCCAAGAGUGGAAUAAGCUCUUGGGUUGUUAAUAUUACAUCUCCAUUUGUCUAUCUUUCUAUCUUUACUUUGUUCUAAUCGUUGGUGUUCUUGUUCUAGUAUUGUAAC
RNAcentral lists this long non-coding RNA (1681 nucleotides) under Capsicum annuum. RNAcentral describes it as "long non-coding RNA (CANN_LNC021310)". The record is from RNAcentral. Lineage: Eukaryota; Viridiplantae; Streptophyta; Magnoliopsida; Solanales; Solanaceae.